GUGUAAUACAGGGCACACCACCCAUGUCAGUGGGAGGUGAGUGGGGCAGCAUCUCCCAGAGUAGGAAUCAGCCUCUAGGCUGUGCAAACCAUGAAGGAAUGAAAGGACUUUCCCUGUUUUAUUUUUAUUUAAUUUUUGUUAGUGGGAGUGUGUGACAUGUUGGGGGCAGUUGCAAUUAAUUUGUAACCUGACAGCCGGACAAGUGUCAAGGUAGGAAUGUGAUGCCCCAUGAUCUCCCAGGAAAGUAGGCUCCCAUUGAAUUUUCUGGGGGAGCUUGAAUUUCAUUCUGAGCUAAGCAGCACUGCUAAACUUAAUAAUAAAAGGAUUAGCAGGAUAGGCAGUGUUUCUACUGCCACAAGGGUUGCACAGAAGCAUCUGGCAUGUACUAAUAGUCUUGUGAUCCAGAGAGUGUGGACUGUGCACUUUGCUUUAAGUCCUAAAGUGGGUGUACAGGUCCUUUAACCCAUAAUGAAUGUGUAGAUGAUGGAGGGGCCGUCAGGGAGAGAGGCUGUUGAGUUCUCCUCUGUCUCUCAGCCCUCUUCUGCCCUGUACCACUUGGUGUUGACAUUUUUUUCCCCUCCCUCAGGAUGAAGUCUUCCUUAGAAUAAUAAAUAUUCCCCAAAGGACAUGUAUUUGUUGUCUUGUGUUUUGAGAAACAAUAAAUUGUAGCCAGUCUAACAACAGUUUGAAAAACUCCAGUGCUUAUGACCCAACUAGUGCCAAAGAGGUUAAAAUGUUAUGUUUCAAAAUGUUGGCUUGGGCACUGAUUUUUAAAAAAUUAUGAUGUUUCAUUUUGUGAUUUGUCUUUUUCUGCCCUUUCUGCCCCCAAAUUACAAUUAUUAUUUAACCAAUUAAAAUAAAUUAAAAUAUUUUAUUUGGAUAACUUUAGACCUCACACUUUCCUAGAGUACUCCAGACCAGGAAUUGAAAUUGCCCUUCCGGGUAUCAGGUAACAAAGACUUCCCAUUUGCUUAGAGUGAGAACAAAAGGAUUAAAAAACAAUGCGAAACAAAACCAUUUGGAAUUACUGGCACUUGUUCUGGGUGAAUCCAUCUGUGUUUGCUUCCUUCCUUCUAUAGAACUACAAAGUUAAAGGAUUGUAUAUAUUGUCACAGAAUGUCACCCUCUCUCCAUAGCCCACAUCUGCCUGUCUGCGUUAGGAGCUCUCAUCCCUGGUGUCUGCCUGGCUCUGGAGCAGGGGUGUCCAAUUUUCUGGCUUCCCUGGGCCACAUUGGAAGAAGAAGAAUUGUCUUGGGCCACACAUAAAAUACACUAACGCUAACGAUAGCUGAUGAGCUAAAAAAAAAAAAAUCACAAAAAGUCUCAUAAUGUUUUAAGAAAGUUUAUGAAUUUCUGUUGGGCUGCAUCCAAAGCUGUCCUGGGCCAUGGGUUGGAUGAGCUUGAUCUAGAGGCUCUGUAGGAGGAGCAGGAGCUCUUGGACAUGUGUUAGUUGUUCACUCCUGUUCACUACAGGAGUGCUGCCUAUGGAGCCCCAAAAUAAGUAGGGGAAACUCAAGCCACACAUCCUUGGGAGCUCAUUAGUCUGUGUUCUCUAGUAGGUAAGCAUUCCAGAUUCAAAGAAAAAUGAGCCACUCAAACAGGUUUCUCUAGCAAGGUGCUGGAGAGUGGCCACACAUGGUAGAUGCAAGAGAUGAUAGAAACCUUCAGGACUAUUGCUUGAGACAAUGUGAAUAGCUCUAGGUGCCAUUUCUUGAGCAUCUCUCAUGAGCCAGCCUUUUCCACUCAUUAUGUCUGAUCUCUACCACCAACCUUUGAGUAGGUAUUAUUCCCUUCUUUUGGGUAAGAAAACUGAGAAGCUAAUAACUUAAGUGACUUGUUCAAGGCCACAUCUCUAAAAAGAGAAUGAGCAGCUGGAAUUCAAAUCCAGAAUUGUCUGGAUCCAAAGCUUAUGUAUGUCUUUGACAUAUUACCCCAUAGUUAAAAUAGCUGAAGUUUCAAUGAAAUUUCCAGACAUGGAAAGAGGUAAAUCCAAGGUAGGGGAAUUUAAACCAGUGACUGAAGGCCAGUUGGGAUUCAUGAUCUGAAUGGACAAAGCGACCCUAUUUGCCAGUUUGCAAACUUAAUGUGUCCUGGGUCUUCCAGGGAGGCUGGCAUCUCAGAGCUGAUUGGAAUCCCACAAUCCAAAUGUCACUGGGGGCCAUUUCCACCCCCCAGAAACAUGGUAUUUGCCUUUAAAGAAACUAUAUGCAUAAAUGCCUUGUUAGGUUUGAUACACUGUGUCCUUAUAUUUCAGACAGUAGUAGCCCCAAAUUAUGCCUAUGCAUCAAAAGAUGAACCAAGCCAGAAACUAAGGGAGAAUUGCCUAGUUGUGCUCUGAUUAGAGGGUGUGAUGGUGAAAGGGCAUGUGUUUUGUGCCUCUUCAGUGUGCCUCCCACAAGGGGAGAAGGCAGAGUAUUCUCCUUGUUACCUCCCCACCCCCUAGGAUCUUUGCAUUUGCCACUGCAUAGAGGAUAGGAAAGAGCUUUUGCAAAAUAACAGCUUUUAAAUAAUCCUUUUCCAAAUCAUAUAAUUUUGGUAGUAUUUGGCCAACGAAAACUUUCAAACACACAACCUAGUGGUCCAGUCUCAGCAGACUGGUGGUCAGUUCCAAUAAGAGAUGUGGAAGUCACUGGCUCUGUCUCUUUUCACAGGGUCUGGGAUGCUGUCCCAUCAUAUCAUUUGCUUGUGAAUGUUCAGGUAGGAUGGAAGAUAGAGGAAUUCCAAAUAGACAGGGAGUAAAGGGGAGUUUGGGUUACAAGACAGAGGCCUGGGGAAGGGAAGGAGUUACUGAAUGCUCCUUAUUGGGCUUUUCCAAUUGAGCCAACCCCUGAAGUCUGGAUUUUGUAGGAGGAUGAGGUUUGACUCUAAUUCUUCAUUCAGCCUUGCUACUUCAAUUAGAGUGGAGUCCUAGCCAUCUUCUAUCUACUUUUUUUUCUUUAGACACCGGCAUUGUUAUUCACAACCCUUGCUAAUGAACUUGCCAUUUUUAAUACUGACUUUUUUGGGUUACAUAGAUUUUUGACAUUAUUCAUACUUUGGCAAAGCCUGGUAAACAUGGCUGACAUAGUUGGAAUUGGCUGAAAAUUUGUAUUUGUAUUUGACUAAAAAUCUUAGCAUAGUGCUUUGCAUACAGUAGGAACACAAUAAAUAUCGAUGUAGAUUGAAUAAUUUUCUUUCUAGACUGUUAAAUUCACAAGAGUAGGAACAUUCUGAUGUUCACCGCAGAGUCCCUGAUAUUUAGAAUAGUGCCUACUAUUCUAUAUAGUAUAAUAUGUGCACAUUAAACAUCAGUUGAAUGGAUGAGUGCUAACCUUCCCAAUAUUUAGUCUAACUCAUUACCUGUCAACAUGAAGGUAGCAUGCCAGCAUUAGAUCGGGAAUCAGAUGUGUGGUUUAGUUAUGUUACCAACCAGCUGUGUGAUCUUGAGUGAGUCAUUUGACAUUUGGAGUCAAUUUUCUUUUCUUUUGUAAAACAAAAGAAUUUGGUUAGAUGGAUGCUACAGUUUAAAAAGUCUGUGGUUUUAUUAUUGACUGGAUAAAUUACAUGUGAAUGAAGCAUUUCUGUUGACAAAGUGGUAGUGUACGUAUUAUCUCAUAUGAAUUUUAUAACUAUCCAUUAUCUCCAUUUUAUGGAUGUUAUUGUGUUACUGAGUAUUAUCUCAAUAUUGUAUUACUAGAUAUGGAAAAUGAGAUUCAAAGAGGUUAGCAAUUUGGGUAACCAAGCAAAUAAGUGGAUCAGAACCCAGGUCCUUUGACUCAAAAUCCAGAGCUCUUUCAUCUCUGGAGCACUGCCUCUUGGGACUGAAUGAUUAGGCUGCUUUUGGCUGCAAGUAAAAGAGUAGACAAGUUAAAGUGGCCUAAAUAAUAAGGACACUUAUUAUCUUAGCUGGCAAAAAGUCCAGAGAGAGGGCAACUUCAGGGCUGUUCCAAAGCUCUGCCUGGACUCAGUUGCUGCUUCCCAUCUUUUCACUCUGGCAUCUUCAGUGCAUUAACUAUGUCUCUAUAGUCUCCAUGAUUAUGAGGUGGCUGCAGUAAUUUUAGAUGUCAGUCAGUCACUACCACAUCCACUGUCCAAGAAGAGGUAUUUCCUCAUGCAUUGCCUUUUUAUCACAGAGGAACACUUUCCCAGAGUCCCCAUCAGUUUUCCCAUCAGAUUCCAUUGGCCUGGAUUGGAUCAUAUGCCCAUGCCCUAGCUGUAAAAGUGUCUAGGAAUAUAUGCAUCUGGCAUUUUUCCUCUCUAUAAUGGGAGGUGGCUUUGCCAUUAUGGAAGGAAUGGAAUUAUGUGUGUGUGUGUGUGUGCAUGCACAUGUGUGUGGUGGGGAGGAACAGCUGUCGGCUAAUCAUGCAGGAGCGUCUUUCAGAAUACGUCAAAUUAGGUUGCAAUUAUUGUUACAAUAAACCUUUCAUGAGAGUUUAGUAAGAUGUCAUCUCAGCCCUGGCUUUUUUUAGGCAAUCUUUGUAUGAUCAAAUUCUAGAACAAGGAAAAUUAUGAGAGAGUCCUUUGUAGUGUGUGUUGUUAAAUAUCAUUUCUGCCCUUAUGGAAUGGGUGGGUUCUGGGCAGCUAAAAGGCAUCUUGUUCAGAGCAGGCACAGCUCUCUAUAGCAGACAAACUUUAUGCUUGUUCAAGUGGCACAGUGGCAUGAAGUGGUUGAGAGCAUAUGUUCUGGAGCACUGCUUGCUUGGGUUUGAACCCUGGCUCUGCCAUUGACUAGCCAGGUGACUUUGGGGAAGUCACUUUUCCUCAUUGGGCCUCAGUUUCCUCAGCUAUAAAGUGGAAAUAAUAAUAACAUAGCCCUCAUGGACUUUUUGUAAGGAUUAAAUAAGGAUUAUAUGUCAAGUGCUUAGCUUAGUACCUGGCACAUAGUGAGAGCUGAAAAAAUAGUGACUGUUAUCUUAAUGUUUUGUGAAACUAUAUUAGAGGUAAUCCUAAAUAGUGGGAAGGCUUUGACUUAGAAUCAAAUGACUUUAAGCCUAAACUCCAUCACUUUCUGAUGGUGCAAGACCUUAAGCCAGUCACUGGGCCUCCUGUUCUUCAACUGAAAAAUGAGAGUAAUAAUUCCUCAACUGCCAGUCUCCACUGUGUUGUUGAGAUGGCUUAUGUAAAAGCAUGUUGUAAAUGUUCAAAUAUCACCCAAAUACAGAGUACUAUUCUAAUCAAUUUAGUUGAAGAAAAGGUUAGCUUCUUAUCUGUUGAAAUGGGAAUGAUAUUAUCAUGUGCAAACCUAUAUCUGUGCUAAAUAUCAGGCCCCAUGAUGAUCCUGCUGGUGAAAUCCAAGCUAGGUCCAGCUGGCAGCCACAGUUUUCUGCUAGUAAGGACAAUUCAACACUUUUCUCUACCAAGCUCUUCUGGAAUGCCAUUCAGAGUCUACUGAAAAUCAGACACAAAAGGAAUAGAGGAGAGAGGCAGUUUGUUAAAUACUGUGGCACAGCUCUGACGUUUUUAGACCUAUAUUAUAUGGGCCAGCUCUUUAUAUUAAGUAUAUCCUAAAAAAAUGUAAUGUUAUUCCAAUGGUCUGCUAAGAUCUUAUCUCUUGAUAUUUUCAAAGCAAAGGCAAAGUGUAUUGACUUCAGGGAGAAUACAAUAAUAUUAGCUGCACAUUGACGGUGUAUCAGCUAGAAUUCUUUUAACUACAUGCAACAAAUUCUAAUUCAAACUGGCUUUAACAUUAAGGACAUUUACUGACUCAUAUAUUCAGAAGUCUUGAAUUAUAUAUUUAAUUCAAGGACUGUGGCUCUGUUUCUCUGGGGUUCCUUUGCCUCUUCUUGCCAUUUGGGAUGGCUCUAUCCUCAGACUGGUAGUGAAAUAGUUAUAGUAGUGCCAGUUCUCACAUUUUCAUAGGAUACCCUCCAGAGGAAGAGAGAAGCCACUUCCAAUUCAGCAUCCCAAACAGAAGUGUGCAGUCAUUCUGAUGGGACCUCCCAGGUCACAUGCUUACCCCUGAAGCAGUGACCCUGACCAGGGGAAGAUAAUGUGCUGAUUAGCUUAAGGUGCAGAGCUUGACCCUGGGACUCAGGGUGGGAUCAACUUCCCCUGUGGUGAUGUUCUGCCUGGGGAAGAGCAAAUACCUAAAAUCAGAUAGGAGGAAGGGGGAAAUGGCUCCUAAAAAGAUAACCCACAAUACCUACUGUAGAUGCUUUGUCUAGGGUAGGUGGUUCUCAAAGUGUUGUCUGGGGAAUCCUGGAAGUCCCUGUGAUCAUUUCAUGGAGUCCAUGCUAUUAAAAAAAAACUAUUUUCAAAAUAAUACUAAGAUAUUGUUUGCCUUUUUGGAUAACAGUUUUAUUGAGAUGUAGUUCACAUUCCUUGUAGUACGCCCACUUAAGGUAUACAAUUUUUAAUAUAUUCAGAGAGUAGUGCAGUCAUCACCACAAUUAAUUUUAGAAUAUUUUCAUCAUCCCCAAAAUGAACCUUUGCCCUUUAGCAGUCAUACCUCCAUUUCCCUCCAGACCUCCCAGUCCUAGGCAACCACUAAUCUACUUCCUGUCUGUAUAGAUUUGUCUAUUCUGGACAUUUGAUAAAAAUGGAAUCAUAAAAUAUGUGAACUUUUGUGUCUGGCUUCUUUCACUUAGCACAAUGUUUUCAAGGUUUAUCCAUAUUGUAGCAUGGGUCAGUACCUCCUUCCUUUUUCUUGUUGAAUAGUAGUCCAGUCCAUUGCAUAGAUAUAUCACAUUUUGUUGAUCCAUUCAUUAGUUGAACAUUUGGGUUGAUGGACAUUUUGGCUAUUAUGAAUAAUGUUGCUAUGAACAUUCCUGAAAAAGUUGCUCUCUAGACAUGUUUCAUUUCUCUUGGGUGUAUACCUAGAAGUGAAAUUACUAGUCAUAUGGUAACUCUGUGUUUAAUCUUUUGAAUAACUGUCAAACAGUUUUUCAAAGUGGCUGCACCAUUUUACAUUCCCACCAGCAGUGUAGCAGGGUUUCAAUUUCUUCACAUCCUCUCCAAUACUUGUUAUUAUCUAUCUGUUUGAUUAUAACCAUCCUAAGUGGGUGUGGAGUGGGAUCUCAUUGUGGUUUUGAUUUGCAUUUCUCUGGUGGCUAAAGUUGAGCAUCUUUUCAUGUGUCUAUUAGCCAUUUGUAUAUCUUCUUCAGACAGCUGCCCAUUUAGAUCCUUUGCCCAUUUUAAAAUUGGGUUGUCUUUUAUUAUUAAGUUGUAAGAGUUCUUCAUAUAUUCUGGACACAAACCCUUUAUAUAAUAAGUGAUUUGCAAAUAUUUUUUCCCAUUCUGUGGGAUAUCUUUUACUUUCUUGAUGGGGU
Molecule: long non-coding RNA, 7247 nt
Filed under: Homo sapiens (human)
Lineage: Eukaryota; Metazoa; Chordata; Mammalia; Primates; Hominidae
Description: HSALNT0353102
Source: RNAcentral